This 675-nucleotide long non-coding RNA is filed under the name Brachypodium distachyon (stiff brome). RNAcentral describes it as "long non-coding RNA (BDIS_LNC003272)". Lineage: Eukaryota; Viridiplantae; Streptophyta; Magnoliopsida; Poales; Poaceae. The record is from RNAcentral.
CGCGGAUUCGGCGGCGAGACGCGAGGAGCUUUCCUUCCGGGGAAGAAGCGCCUGACAGGCGGGUCCCACCUGUCAAUGGUUGUGGGCGCACGCGCGUGCGGUGCUGGGCCGGCGGCGCUCGCCGGGGAAUGGGCCGGUUCGGUCCAAAUCGGCCGGGCCGGUCCGUUUACCGUUUUUUUUUCCUUUUCUUUUUCCCUUUUUCUUUUUCUGUAAAUCCUUUGUAACUUUUGAUUUUGAACGCCAAAUUGGUCCAAAUAAAUUCCAGAAAAUUUGUAAAAUCAUGUUUUAUCGUGAUUCAACUUUUGGGAGUGAUUUCCCCUCAAAAUAAAAUAUAUAAAAAUACAUUUGCGCUAUAAAUGACUUUAGGGCUAUAUAACUAUUUGAAAUGAAUAGUUUUUCAACUUCAAAUUAAAUCUUAAAGAUUAUGGGAUAGCUUAUUUAUGUAAUAAACCACUUUUGUAGUUAAACCCUAUUGGUUUAAAGAUCUAAAGACCAAAUGGGUGAAACCCUAGGGUUUAAAAUUGAAAUAAAAUCAUUUCAAAGCCUUUUGAGAUUCAAAUUUGAAUUCAAAUAUGCAAAUGUGGCAUGAUGCUCAUGGAUGCAAUGCACAUGUAAGAAUUUGAAAUUUUGGGAUGUUACAACCUGAGGUCGCCUCCCAUCCUCGUCGCCACCAAG